UCGAGCGAGCUUGCCUAGAUGAGUUUGGUGCUUGCACCAGAUGAAACUAGAUACAAGCGAGCGGCGGACGGGUGAGUAACACGUGGGUAACCUGCCCAAGAGACUGGGAUAACACCUGGAAACAGAUGCUAAUACCGGAUAACAACACUAGACGCAUGUCUAGAGUUUAAAAGAUGGUUCUGCUAUCACUCUUGGAUGGACCUGCGGUGCAUUAGCUAGUUGGUAAGGUAACGGCUUACCAAGGCAAUGAUGCAUAGCCGAGUUGAGAGACUGAUCGGCCACAUUGGGACUGAGACACGGCCCAAACUCCUACGGGAGGCAGCAGUAGGGAAUCUUCCACAAUGGACGCAAGUCUGAUGGAGCAACGCCGCGUGAGUGAAGAAGGGUUUCGGCUCGUAAAGCCCUGUUGGUAGUGAAGAAAGAUAGAGGUAGUAACUGGCCUUUAUUUGACGGUAAUUACUUAGAAAGUCACGGCUAACUACGUGCCAGCAGCCGCGGUAAUACGUAGGUGGCAAGCGUUGUCCGGAUUUAUUGGGCGUAAAGCGAGUGCAGGCGGUUCAAUAAGUCUGAUGUGAAAGCCUUCGGCUCAACCGGAGAAUUGCAUCAGAAACUGUUGAACUUGAGUGCAGAAGAGGAGAGUGGAACUCCAUGUGUAGCGGUGGAAUGCGUAGAUAUAUGGAAGAACACCAGUGGCGAAGGCGGCUCUCUGGUCUGCAACUGACGCUGAGGCUCGAAAGCAUGGGUAGCGAACAGGAUUAGAUACCCUGGUAGUCCAUGCCGUANACGAUGAGUGCUAAGUGUUGGGAGGUUUCCGCCUCUCAGUGCUGCAGCUAACGCAUUAAGC
RNAcentral lists this ribosomal RNA (844 nucleotides) under uncultured bacterium. RNAcentral describes it as "bacterial SSU rRNA". It matches the Rfam family "Bacterial small subunit ribosomal RNA", at positions 62 to 865 of the family's 1533-position model. The record is from RNAcentral.